RNAcentral lists this ribosomal RNA (350 nucleotides) under uncultured bacterium. RNAcentral describes it as "bacterial SSU rRNA". It matches the Rfam family "Bacterial small subunit ribosomal RNA", at positions 356 to 698 of the family's 1533-position model. The record is from RNAcentral.
CGGGAAUAUUGGACAAUGGGGGAAACCCUGAUCCAGCCAUGCCGCGUGUGUGAAGAAGGCCCUAGGGUUGUAAAGCACUUUUAGUAGUGAGGAAGGCCCAGUAGUUAAUACCUACUGGGAUUGACGUUAGCUACAGAAAAAGCACCGGCUAAUUUCGUGCCAGCAGCCGCGGUAAUACGAAAGGUGCAAGCGUUAAUCGGAAUUACUGGGCGUAAAGCGCGCGUAGGCGGCUUGGUAAGUUGGAUGUGAAAGCCCCGGGCUCAACCUGGGAACUGCAUCCAAAACUGCCUGGCUAGAGUAUGGUAGAGGAUGGCGGAAUUUCCUGUGUAGCGGUGAAAUGCGUAGAUAUA